This 74-nucleotide transfer RNA is filed under the name Oscillospiraceae bacterium. RNAcentral describes it as "tRNA-Gln". It matches the Rfam family "tRNA". Rfam says of the family: Transfer RNA (tRNA) molecules are approximately 80 nucleotides in length. Their secondary structure includes four short double-helical elements and three loops (D, anti-codon, and T loops). Lineage: Bacteria; Bacillati; Bacillota; Clostridia; Eubacteriales; Oscillospiraceae. The record is from RNAcentral.
ACCGGCGUGGUGUAAUGGCAGCACAUCAGGCUUUGACCCUGACAGCGUGGGAUCGUAACCCGCCGCCGGUGCCA